GGUCCUUUGAAACCUAAAGGUAGACCUUCCCUCACUGGAUCCCAUUAAAACCUAAUUUCGUACACUUUUCGAUUGGAAAAACCCUAAUUUCAAUUGGAUCUUAAUCAAAUUAUAGUUCGAAAGAACAAUUGUAGAAUGUCUCAGAAUCAGAAACACGGAGCAGAUCAGCCGGACAUUGGUGGGCCCACACCGAAAUCACAGCGCACCAAAAUUGUUAAAUCUUCAGACGAUAAUGAGAAAAAGACUUUGGGCAAGAAGCUUAAAGAUUCAGAAAUUUGUGUCCCAAUUGUGUAUGGUAACAUUGCGUUUUGGCUUGGCAAGAAAGCUAGCGAGUACGAGUCUCAUAAAUGGACAGUUUAUGUGCGUAGCUCUACGAAUGAGGACCUGGGAGUGGUGAUAAAGCGAGCUGUUUUCCAACUUCAUUCAAGUUUUAACAAUCCCACGAGGGUUGUUGAAGGUCCUCCUUUUGAAUUAUCGGAGUCUGGAUGGGGUGAAUUUGAAAUCGUCAUUACCCUUCAUUUCCACAGUGACAUUACUGAAAAGCCAUUGCACUUGUAUCACCAUUUGAAGUUGUACCCUGAGGAGGAGUCUGGUCCCAUGUCCAUGAAGAAGCCUGUUGUCGUGGAAUCCUAUGACGAAAUUGUCUUUUCCGAGCCUUCAGAGGGUUUCCUUGCACGCGUGCAGAAUCAUCCUGCCGUUAUUAUGCCUAGACUACCCAGUGGCUUUUUGUUGCCUCCUGUGCCGAUGGAGGAUAUUGACAGUGGGAACAGGGGUGAUACCAAAAAUAAUCCCCUAAACCAGUGGUUCACCAAUUUCUCUGAGGCCGAUGAACUAUUAAAACUAGCUGCCGCACGCCAGCAGUUAAAGAUGUAAAUUCGUUUUCAUGUCAACUUUUCUGGAUGAGAACUGGAGGUGAAAAUGCAUCAAAUUUGGACUAUCAAGGAGCUAAAUGCUAAGCGAAAGAGAUUGUGGAUAGAAGUGCAAAAUGGCCAAAAGUUUGGGUAUUGUUUGUGCAUUUUACCCAAAGACGAAUAGAAAAGACUGAUCAUUUUCCCCCAGAAUCCCAUUCAAACAACCCUCCACUCAUGUCUUUGGUAUUUGUGGAGAGAAUAUACUAUUACUGUCAUCUCCAGUUGGCAAAGAUGUGGGAUUUAAAUGGUGUGCAUUUUUUGAACUCAUGACUGCCAAUUUUGAAGACCAUUUCCUAGAAAAUUGAAGAGAUUGAUUGGUGAUGGUGGUGUUCUGCAACUUGAUUCAUCUUUUUCUUGCCUAAGCCACUACCAUAAAAUCAACCCUCGAACAGAUUUGUGGCUGUGUGGAUUGGGGCAUGGGGCAGAAGUGCAAGCUCAUAUUGCGAGACUCAGAAGGCAGUUGAGUUUGAUAGACGGGCAGCAACAACUGAAAUCUGCAUCUGACGUGUAAAUUUUCAAUGCAUCUAAUCUAACCUAUUAAACUUAAUCAUUCCAAGAGAUUAAGAUAUCAAUGGUUUCAAUUCAUGUGUGAUUGAACUAAUUCCUUUGCUCCUUUUUUUGUCAUUUUUGACGUGAAACCUUCAAUGUAUUUCAUGAAGGAGGAGAAAAAUUGGCAGUCAAAUCGACUCUUAUAUAUGGAGAUAUACUAGUUCAGUGCUUUGUAUAAUUUGUGGGAACUCUUAAAACACUUUCAACAUACUCUACUCCAUAGUUAUAGGCAUUAAUAUUCUGAUUCGAGGUUUUAUUCAAGGUUCUGAGAAUUUAACAGCA
Molecule: RNA transcript, 1742 nt
Organism: Olea europaea var. sylvestris
Lineage: Eukaryota; Viridiplantae; Streptophyta; Magnoliopsida; Lamiales; Oleaceae
Gene name: transcription initiation factor TFIID subunit 14b-like
Exons: 7
Source: RefSeq, a predicted model, not a curated record